CACGCCGCGUGAGUGAUGAAGGUUUUCGGAUCGUAAAGCUCUGUUGUUAGGGAAGAACAAGUACCGUUCGAAUAGGGCGGUACCUUGACGGUACCUAACCAGAAAGCCACGGCUAACUACGUGCCAGCAGCCGCGGUAAUACGUAGGUGGCAAGCGUUGUCCGGAAUUAUUGGGCGUAAAGGGCUCGCAGGCGGUUUCUUAAGUCUGAUGUGAAAGCCCCCGGCUCAACCGGGGAGGGUCAUUGGAAACUGGGGAACUUGAGUGCAGAAGAGGAGAGUGGAAUUCCACGUGUAGCGGUGAAAUGCGUAGAGAUGUGGAGGAACACCAGUGGCGAAGGCGACUCUCUGGUCUGUAACUGACGCUGAGGAGCGAAAGCGUGGGGAGCGAACAGGAUUAGAUACCCUGGUAGUCCACGCCGUAAACGAUGAGUGCUAAGUGUUAGGGGGUUUCCGCCCCUUAGUGCUGCAGCUAACGCAUUAAGCACUCCGCCCUGGGGAGA
RNAcentral lists this ribosomal RNA (499 nucleotides) under Bacillus subtilis. Its description in RNAcentral is "bacterial SSU rRNA". It matches the Rfam family "Bacterial small subunit ribosomal RNA", at positions 393 to 881 of the family's 1533-position model. Lineage: Bacteria; Bacillati; Bacillota; Bacilli; Caryophanales; Bacillaceae. The record is from RNAcentral.